This 361-nucleotide ribosomal RNA is filed under the name uncultured soil bacterium. RNAcentral's name for it is "bacterial SSU rRNA". It matches the Rfam family "Bacterial small subunit ribosomal RNA", at positions 26 to 389 of the family's 1533-position model. The record is from RNAcentral.
AGAUUGAACGCUGGCGGCAUGCCUUACACAUGCAAGUCGAACGGCAGCACGGGAGCAAUCCUGGUGGCGAGUGGCGAACGGGUGAGUAAUAUAUCGGAACGUGCCCCAGUCGUGGGGGAUAACGCAAGUGAAAGCUGUGCUAAUACCGCAUACGAUCUAUGGAUGAAGCGGGGACUCGCAAGAGCCUCGCGCGAUUGGAGCGGCCGAUAUCAGAUUAGCUAGUUGGUAGGGUAAAGCCCACAGGCGACGAUCUGAGCUGGUCUGAGAGGACGACACGCCACACUGGAACUGAGACACGGUCCAGACUCCUACGGGAGCAGCAGUGGGGAAUUUGGGACAAGUGGGCGACUAAGCCCUAGAC